RNAcentral lists this ribosomal RNA (372 nucleotides) under uncultured organism. RNAcentral's name for it is "bacterial SSU rRNA". It matches the Rfam family "Bacterial small subunit ribosomal RNA", at positions 526 to 896 of the family's 1533-position model. The record is from RNAcentral.
CGUAGGAGGCGAGCGUUAUCCGGAUUCACUGGGCGUAAAGCGCGUGCAGGCGGUUUGGUAAGUUGAUCGUGAAAGCUCCCGGCUCAACUGGGAGAGGUCGGUCAAUACUACCGAACUAGAGAGCAGAAGAGGAAGAUGGAAUUCCCGGUGUAGUGGUGAAAUGCGUAGAUAUCGGGAGGAACACCAGUGGCGAAGGCGAUCUUCUGGUCUGUUUCUGACGCUCAGACGCGACAGCUAGGGAAGUAAACGGGAUUAGAGACCCCGGUAAUCCUAGCCGUAAACGAUGUGAACUUGGCGUCGGUGGCUUAAACACCAUCGGUGCCGAAGCAAACGCGAUAAGUUCACCGCCUGGGGACUACGGCCGCAAGGUUA